This 1437-nucleotide ribosomal RNA is filed under the name uncultured Staphylococcus sp. RNAcentral describes it as "16S ribosomal RNA". It matches the Rfam family "Bacterial small subunit ribosomal RNA". The record is from RNAcentral. Lineage: Bacteria; Bacillati; Bacillota; Bacilli; Caryophanales; Staphylococcaceae.
CUAAUACAUGCAAGUCGAGCGAACAGAUAAGGAGCUUGCUCCUUUGACGUUAGCGGCGGACGGGUGAGUAACACGUGGGUAACCUACCUAUAAGACUGGGAUAACUUCGGGAAACCGGAGCUAAUACCGGAUAACAUUUGGAACCGCAUGGUUCUAAAGUGAAAGAUGGUUUUGCUAUCACUUAUAGAUGGACCCGCGCCGUAUUAGCUAGUUGGUAAGGUAACGGCUUACCAAGGCGACGAUACGUAGCCGACCUGAGAGGGUGAUCGGCCACACUGGAACUGAGACACGGUCCAGACUCCUACGGGAGGCAGCAGUAGGGAAUCUUCCGCAAUGGGCGAAAGCCUGACGGAGCAACGCCGCGUGAGUGAUGAAGGGUUUCGGCUCGUAAAACUCUGUUAUUAGGGAAGAACAAACGUGUAAGUAACUGUGCACGUCUUGACGGUACCUAAUCAGAAAGCCACGGCUAACUACGUGCCAGCAGCCGCGGUAAUACGUAGGUGGCAAGCGUUAUCCGGAAUUAUUGGGCGUAAAGCGCGCGUAGGCGGUUUCUUAAGUCUGAUGUGAAAGCCCACGGCUCAACCGUGGAGGGUCAUUGGAAACUGGGAAACUUGAGUGCAGAAGAGGAAAGUGGAAUUCCAUGUGUAGCGGUGAAAUGCGCAGAGAUAUGGAGGAACACCAGUGGCGAAGGCGACUUUCUGGUCUGUAACUGACGCUGAUGUGCGAAAGCGUGGGGAUCAAACAGGAUUAGAUACCCUGGUAGUCCACGCCGUAAACGAUGAGUGCUAAGUGUUAGGGGGUUUCCGCCCCUUAGUGCUGCAGCUAACGCAUUAAGCACUCCGCCUGGGGAGUACGACCGCAAGGUUGAAACUCAAAGGAAUUGACGGGGACCCGCACAAGCGGUGGAGCAUGUGGUUUAAUUCGAAGCAACGCGAAGAACCUUACCAAAUCUUGACAUCCUUUGAAAACUCUAGAGAUAGAGCCUUCCCCUUCGGGGGACAAAGUGACAGGUGGUGCAUGGUUGUCGUCAGCUCGUGUCGUGAGAUGUUGGGUUAAGUCCCGCAACGAGCGCAACCCUUAAGCUUAGUUGCCAUCAUUAAGUUGGGCACUCUAGGUUGACUGCCGGUGACAAACCGGAGGAAGGUGGGGAUGACGUCAAAUCAUCAUGCCCCUUAUGAUUUGGGCUACACACGUGCUACAAUGGACAAUACAAAGGGCAGCUAAACCGCGAGGUCAUGCAAAUCCCAUAAAGUUGUUCUCAGUUCGGAUUGUAGUCUGCAACUCGACUACAUGAAGCUGGAAUCGCUAGUAAUCGUAGAUCAGCAUGCUACGGUGAAUACGUUCCCGGGUCUUGUACACACCGCCCGUCACACCACGAGAGUUUGUAACACCCGAAGCCGGUGGAGUAACCAUUUAUGGAGCUAGCCGUCGAAGGUG